ACGCUGGCGGCACGCCUUAUACAUGCAAGUCGAACGAAGUAGCAAUACUUAGUGGCAGACGGGUGAGUAACAUGUAGGUAUCUUCCCUUUGGUGAGGAAUAACACGAGGAAACUUGUGCUAAUACCUCAUAAGUCUUUACGGAGAAAGCUUUAUGCGCCGAAGGAUGAGCCUGCACUUGAUUAGUUUGUUGGUGGGGUAAUGGCCUACCAAGACUUUGAUCUAUAGCUGAUCUGAGAGGAUGAUCAGCCACAUUGGGACUGAGACACGGCCCAAACUCCUACGGGAGGCAGCAGUAGGGAAUAUUGCACAAUGGAGGAAACUCUGAUGCAGCGAUGCCGCGUGAGUGAAGAAGGCCUUUGGGUUGUAAAGCUCUUUCGUCGGGGAAGAAAAUGACUGUACCCGAAUAAGAAGGUCCGGCUAACUUCGUGCCAGCAGCCGCGGUAAUACGAAGGGACCUAGCGUAGUUCGGAAUUACUGGGCUUAAAGAGUUCGUAGGUGGUUAAAAAAGUUGGUGGUGAAAUCCCAGAGCUUAACUCUGGAACUGCCAUCAAAACUUUUUAGCUAGAGUAUGAUAGAGGAAAGCAGAAUUUCUAGUGUAGAGGUGAAAUUCGUAGAUAUUAGAAAGAAUACCAAUUGCGAAGGCAGCUUUCUGGAUCAUUACUGACGCUGAGGAACGAAAGCAUGGGUAGCGAAGAGGAUUAGAUACCCUCGUAGUCCAUGCCGUAAACGAUGUGUGUUAGACGUUGGAAAUUUAUUUUCAGUGUCGCAGCGAAAGCAUUAAACACACCGCCUGGGGAGUAC
RNAcentral lists this ribosomal RNA (802 nucleotides) under uncultured Pelagibacteraceae bacterium. RNAcentral describes it as "bacterial SSU rRNA". It matches the Rfam family "Bacterial small subunit ribosomal RNA", at positions 33 to 883 of the family's 1533-position model. The record is from RNAcentral. Lineage: Bacteria; Pseudomonadati; Pseudomonadota; Alphaproteobacteria; Candidatus Pelagibacterales; Candidatus Pelagibacteraceae.